Molecule: transfer RNA, 73 nt
Filed under: Actinoallomurus spadix
Lineage: Bacteria; Bacillati; Actinomycetota; Actinomycetes; Streptosporangiales; Thermomonosporaceae
Also listed under: 1 other name
Description: tRNA-Arg
Rfam family: tRNA
About the family: Transfer RNA (tRNA) molecules are approximately 80 nucleotides in length. Their secondary structure includes four short double-helical elements and three loops (D, anti-codon, and T loops). Further hydrogen bonds mediate the characteristic L-shaped molecular structure. tRNAs have two regions of fundamental functional importance: the anti-codon, which is responsible for specific mRNA codon recognition, and the 3' end, to which the tRNAs corresponding amino acid is attached (by aminoacyl-tRNA synthetases). tRNAs cope with the degeneracy of the genetic code in two manners: having more than one tRNA (with a specific anti-codon) for a particular amino acid; and 'wobble' base-pairing, i.e. permitting non-standard base-pairing at the 3rd anti-codon position.
Source: RNAcentral
GCCCCCUUAGCUCAGGGGAUAGAGCACCGGCCUCCGGAGCCGGGUGCGCAGGUUCGAAUCCUGCAGGGGGCGC